This is a long non-coding RNA of Homo sapiens (human), 719 nucleotides long. Ensembl annotates it as POLR1H antisense, pseudogene. Its record names the gene POLR1HASP. NCBI's taxonomy places the organism in Eukaryota, Metazoa, Chordata, Mammalia, Primates, Hominidae. The record is from Ensembl.
AGAGAUGGAGACUAACGUCUUCCAAGGGAGAUUGCGUCUCCACUUUCACCCUGGUACUGAGAGGUUGAGCACAAAAUUGGAACGCAGUCGCGGGGUAUAUCCCCCUGAAAACCGUACGUUGCCAAAUAAUGAUUUCUUUGGAUUAGAGAACUACAACUCCCCUGGGUCCUGAGCCGGUAUUUCCCUUUUGCGGCUGCACCGUAGUUAAAAACAAAGCUAAGUGUUCUGGGACGUAUAGUUCUAGCGUUCCUUGGGUCCCGCUGGCGAGCGUGGGCUUUCUGCAGCUCGCAACCGGCCUCGUGCUUUGCGGACGGUUCACUGCGCUUGGAAAGGGAUUGGCCUGGGGUACAUCAUCUAAAGAUCCUAGGAUUGCUGCAGGUCAGCAGUCUCCACUGGAAAAAAAGAUCUUGGGAAGUAAGAAGUUACAGCUCAGUGCACCAUGAAGUUGAGACAGAGAUGGAGACAUCCCAGCACCACUUCUCUGGAACAGGAAAGGUGAUCGGGGAAGGAAUGUAGGUCAGUGUGGGGAACAGGGUCAUGGUGGACACGGGUGUGGGCUGGUCUCCCCACCACCUCACAUUAUGCCUAUAGGGACACAGACACAUUCAGAUGCCUUUGCAGAAAGAGAAGUCAGGGUUCUUGAAGUCACAAAGGGAAGGCAUGAACAAAUCUUGCCUCUCAGUCCCACACAAGGCAGCUGUCUCACACUAUAGAAAAAA